RNAcentral lists this ribosomal RNA (253 nucleotides) under uncultured prokaryote. RNAcentral's name for it is "partial 16S ribosomal RNA". It matches the Rfam family "Bacterial small subunit ribosomal RNA", at positions 524 to 776 of the family's 1533-position model. The record is from RNAcentral.
UACGGGGGGGGCAAGCGUUGUUCGGAAUUACUGGGCGUAAAGGGCUCGUAGGUGGCCAACUAAGUCAGACGUGAAAUCCCUCAGCUUAACUGGGGAACUGCGUCUGAUACUGGAUGGCUUGAGUUUGGGAGAGGGAUGCGGAAUUCCAGGUGUAGCGGUGAAAUGCGUAGAUAUCAGGAGGAACACCGGUGGUGUAGACGGCUCUCUGGACCGUAACUGACGCUGAGACACGAAAGCGUGGGUAGCAAACAGG